This 253-nucleotide ribosomal RNA is filed under the name uncultured bacterium. Its description in RNAcentral is "partial 16S ribosomal RNA". It matches the Rfam family "Bacterial small subunit ribosomal RNA", at positions 524 to 776 of the family's 1533-position model. The record is from RNAcentral.
UACGUAGGUGGCAAGCGUUAUCCGGAUUUAUUGGGCGUAAAGGGAACGCAGGCGGUCUUUUAAGUCUGAUGUGAAAGCCUUCGGCUUAACCGGAGUAGUGCAUUGGAAACUGGGAGACUUGAGUGCAGAAGAGGAGAGUGGAACUCCAUGUGUAGCGGUGAAAUGCGUAGAUAUAUGGAAGAACACCAGUGGCGAAGGCGGCUCUCUGGUCUGUAACUGACGCUGAGGUUCGAAAGCGUGGGUAGCAGACAGG